RNAcentral lists this ribosomal RNA (254 nucleotides) under uncultured bacterium. RNAcentral describes it as "partial 16S ribosomal RNA". It matches the Rfam family "Bacterial small subunit ribosomal RNA", at positions 524 to 776 of the family's 1533-position model. The record is from RNAcentral.
UACGUAGGGGCCUAGCGUUGUCCGGAAUUAUUGGGCGUAAAGAGCUCGUAGGCGGUUCGGCAAGUCGGAUGUGAAAUCUCCACGCUUAACGUGGAGGGGCCAUUCGAAACUGCUGUGACUCGAGUCCGGUAGAGGAGUGUGGAAUUCCCGGUGUAGCGGUGAAAUUCGUAGAUAUUCGGAAGAACACCAGUGGCGAAGGCGACUCACUGGACAUGUAUUGACGCUGAGGUGCGAAAGCGUGGGGAGCAAACAGG